RNAcentral lists this long non-coding RNA (888 nucleotides) under Brassica napus (rape). RNAcentral's name for it is "long non-coding RNA (BNAP_LNC012855)". Lineage: Eukaryota; Viridiplantae; Streptophyta; Magnoliopsida; Brassicales; Brassicaceae. The record is from RNAcentral.
GUUGGAGUGUGUAGAUGGAGCCAUGCUUGAGCCGACUUUCAUAUCACUCGAGACGGUUUUAAGCAAUGAAACCUUGUGCCACAGUACCUUAUAGAUAAGAUCAAAGUACUAAGUACUAUUUUCGUCAAUAUAUAGAAGAAGCAUGCUUAUUAUAUGGUGAACAUACAAUAAUAAGCGAUGAAUAUUGGAUUGAUUUAUAUCAGAAACCUAAACAAUAUGUCUCCUUUGGCAUGGUUGCAAGCUUCCCAGGAAUGAAGAAACAUCAUCUUCGAAGUGGAUGGUCCUGUGACAGCCACUUGACUGAAGAAGAGUGCAGGAGCAUUGGCAGUGGUGUCUUACUGUCGAGUAGCCAUGGUAUUAUUAGGAAUGGGUCAAUGAAAUUUUGCGACUGAGAAGGAGAUUGAUGGGGAUAUAAAUAUUCUGAUGAGGGGAACACAGAGAGUUGGACGUUUCUAAUGAGUGGGUAAUGAUGGUUACUUGAAGAGCCAUCGGAAUCGUUGGUUAGGAGGGAUGCACGAAGCUUCGUCUUGAAGGGUGAUUAAGGAGCAUUGAAGGUUGGGCUCGGUUUUUUCAUUGAUGAGGAUACAUGCGUUAUUCCGGAGGAGGGAGAUAGACAAUCGAUUUCGAGAGCUUGAUGUCGGAGAAAGCGCCUAGGGUUCGCGAGAAAGAAGCUGCAAGAUGACUACUGGACCUCAAGAAAAAUAAUAAGAAUGAGUUUAAACCUUUGUUUGCUCCAAGAUGAAUGAUGGGCCGUGAUGACAUGACAAAAUGAUUGGUGAAAUUUUUUUUGGCCUAUGUGGCACCCCUCUUUAGCUUUCAAAUUAGCUCCUUUUAUAUAGUAGAGAUAAGUUUUUGGGACUGAAUUUUUAACCAAAAAAAACACUAAAU